AACCUGGUUGAUCCUGCCAGUAGUCAUAAGCACAAGUCAACAUCUUGUGUUGAUUACGUCCCUGCUCUUUGUACACACCGCCCGUCGCUCCUACCGAUCGAGUGUUUAGAUGAAUUUGAUGGACGUGAGGAAGUCAAAUAAAUCUGAGCACUUAGAGGAAGGAGAAGUCGUAACAAGGUUUCCGUAGGUGAACCUGCAGAAGGAUC
This 206-nucleotide ribosomal RNA is filed under the name uncultured eukaryote. RNAcentral describes it as "partial 18S small subunit ribosomal RNA". It matches the Rfam family "Eukaryotic small subunit ribosomal RNA", at positions 1592 to 1827 of the family's 1831-position model. The record is from RNAcentral.